GAUGAAACGCUGAUGAGGAUUAGUAUAGUUUGAGAGGUCUUUAGACAGAGAGGAAAUGGCUGGUGGAAAUUUCCAAAGAUACAGACUAAGAACCUGCCUCUGAGUUCGCCAUCGGAAGGUUUUUGCCGAAAGAUGUGCGCGGUUUUAAACCGUUAAGAUACCAAGUGUGUGCAGUCCGUGAUUGGUUGCAAACAAGGGUGGUACCACCACAGACCUCGGUCCCUUUU
This 227-nucleotide non-coding RNA is filed under the name Lentibacillus amyloliquefaciens. RNAcentral's name for it is "T-box sequence". It matches the Rfam family "T-box leader". Rfam says of the family: Uncharged tRNA acts as the effector for transcription antitermination of genes in the T-box leader family. T-boxes are found upstream of many aminoacyl-tRNA synthetase genes and some amino acid biosynthetic genes usually in Gram-positive bacteria. The anticodon of a specific tRNA base pairs to a specifier sequence within the T-box motif, and the NCCA acceptor tail of the tRNA base pairs to a conserved bulge in the T-box antiterminator hairpin. The record is from RNAcentral. Lineage: Bacteria; Bacillati; Bacillota; Bacilli; Caryophanales; Bacillaceae.